UAAUCUAGCCCAUUUGUCCUCAAGAUGGAUCAACAUCACCAACCCCGCUUUCUCGGGAAGUGCGAUUUUCCAAAUUUACCAAACUGGUACUCUUGGAUCCUAUCUGCUUUUUCACGGUGCUGUCAAGGACAAAGUCUGUUCCAGGGCAUUCCUGCUCCACUUCUUGGCUGUGUCCCAGCCUGUGACUUGGCUUAAAUGGGGAGAAGAGACCCUCCUCCUCAGGAUACAAUAAACGAGCUCACGAAGUACACUCCGAGCAGUGCCAGGCACAAAGAGCUCAAUAUAAACCAGCCCUUAUCACAAUGAAGAGAGUAUAUUAGUGAAGACAUCAUGUCCUUCCUACUUUGUUUUAUUAGCUCCUCAGCUGGCAACGCUGUGCUGGUCCUCCAGUUUUUUGUACCGGCAUCUUACUGGUUUGUGAAAUCCCAGGGAGUGGACAUUAUGACCUAUGACUCAGAAGCAACUGUAGCCAAAACUCAAGCCCGUGCUGAGGGAACAGACCCAAAGGAUGGCCCCAAAGCGUGCUCUUCUGGCCUGCCUGGAGGGGGCUCAGCCAGUGGUUAAUGUUAUGUGAGUUUUCCCUAGGCUAAAAAGAAAAACAAAAACAAAAACAACUGCACAGUGCACCAGGGAUCCCGUAUAUGCAUGGUAAGCCCUGCGGUGAGCAUCUGCGGUAUGGACUCUGGGGCCCUCCGAGUGUGUUUGACCUUUCACCUAGAAAACGCUCACCCAGGGUAGAGAUUUUUAUCCUUCUUUGUCCUUUGUGAGAGCCGACCGCGGCGGAGGCCUGCUGGAGGCACACAGGGUGUUUCAAAAAGCCUCCCCUCCCCGAUCCCAGGAAGAAACCCUUUGUGCGCUGCAGCCUUGAUCUCGGCGAGGGGUGGGCUUUGUUGAAGCUGCGCUCUCACGUCGCUCGCCGCGCUCGCCCGGAGGUCCCCCGGCGAGCUACCGCCCUCCCGGCGCACCUCGAGGGCAGGGGUCGCGGUUCCCUCCCCCAAACUCCCCGGAGUGCCGGGCGCCGAGCUCUGAAAGGCCCGCGACGCACGCAUAGUCGCGCCCCUGGGCUCGCGGCGGGCUGCCCCGGCCGGCCGGGGACUCGCGCACACGCGGCGUCCCCCAACCUCCGCAUGCGGCGGCGCGCGGCCUGCUGGGAAACGUAGUUCCGGGGGCGCCAGGCUCCCGAGGAGCAGCCCCGCCCGGGCUUGUUUAUCUCUCCAGCCGGGGCGAGGCGGGCAAGGCGGCGACGCGGCGGCCGCGGAGCGCGCCCGGAGCCCUGCUGCCGUGACCUCCUCGAGAGGGCGGAGGUGAACCAAUGUCACCCGCCCGACCGAGCGCCCCGGCCACUCACCAGGGUGAGGGCGGCCCGAGUGGGCUGCAGCUUCCUCUUGCUCACAGCCCGGACAGUGGCCCGGACUAACGAAGCCGACAUCCUCGCCGUCCCGGCGCCCGGGUGCCUUGCGCCGGAACUCGGCCACCUCAGCCUCUCUCCAUGGACACAGCGGCCGCAUUGACGCCACAAGCUCCUGCGCACGGCGCCCCAGGCCCCGCCCCGCGCGAGCCCGCCCCCGCCGCCGCCAUUGGGCGGGCCGUGUGAGUGACGGACAGAGGGCGGGGCGCGGAGCUCCGGCCAUGGGCACGUGACUUGAUAGGCGCAAAGGGCCCGGGGGCAAGGUUGUCUUUGCAAGGACGGCCUCCGCGCUACGUGGGGAGUGGGGCUGGGGCGCGCAGAACGCCUGCACUUGUGGACUCUGGAGGCGUGUCGCUCCACGACCUGCCCCUGGGAAAGAUGCGGCGUCACUCCUUAAGAACGCUGAGCUACGAGCGCUGGUGCUCUCCAAAGCAGAAGGGUUCCGAGGCGCAGGUACACACGUUGGUCUUCCUUUUGGUUCAGCUAGGCAGUUCUUAAGAGCAUGGACUUACCGCAGAAUCGCGAAAUAACCCAAAUACUCACCAGGCUACCUCCUCACCGCGGGCUGUACUGCACCGGAUGUUGGAAGAUGGUGCUAAUGCAAGUUUCGCUUUUAGGUGCUGACUUUGGAACGCCGACCAACCCGAAGAUGUGAUUGGACAGAUCUGUCAACAUUCAUAGUGAGAACCAUUCCGUAAGAUUGAACGCCUGUUUGUCAGACCUUGUAGUGGCUGCUCAGGGCCUCCUGCCUUUUAAUUCUCCAAGUACACCUAUGCUUUAGGCAUUAUACCAGGCAUGCACUCACAGGAAGCCUGGUCAAUGGAGGGUCCAGGAAAGAAUGAGAGAUCCUGGAGAACAGAAGUGCUGCAGAGUUAGCAGUAGGGGGGAGGAGGAGAACGUAAAGGAUGGGUGGCUUUUCUCGUGGAAGUGCUAGAGGUAGAGGGGAAAAGUAGUAUCUGUGGAAUGGUGAUGGCAAGGAAAGACUCUUGCUCAGUGUUUUGAUGUGAAAAGAACUAAUCAGUGUGUUUUAGAGCCCAAUUUAUCUUUAAUCCCCUAGAGCCUAUAGGUUUGGAUGGUUCAGAAUUCCCUUAGGUAGUUCUAUCUCCCUGCUACUGAAAUAGAACUGCAUGACAGCAAGAGAAUGGUUAUCUUUGCCUCUAAGCCCUCUAAGCACAAAAGAAGCAGUGAGUUUAGGCGAUGGUAGUAUGGUGGGUUUGUAUCUUGGCUUCCUCUCCCUAGAUCGGUGAUUUGGGACGGCGUAUUUUACUUCUUGUGCCCUUCCUCUUACUGAUGCUAUGAAGACUAAAUGGAAAGCCCUUAGAAGAUUGUAUGGCACCUAAGUACUAGAAACUCAAUAAAGGUUGCUAGUUAUUCAUGGA
Long non-coding RNA from Lynx canadensis (Canada lynx), 2787 nucleotides. RefSeq lists it as uncharacterized. Lineage: Eukaryota; Metazoa; Chordata; Mammalia; Carnivora; Felidae. The record is from RefSeq and is a predicted model, not a curated record. The transcript has 2 exons.